Molecule: ribosomal RNA, 371 nt
Filed under: uncultured bacterium
Lineage: Bacteria
Description: bacterial SSU rRNA
Rfam family: Bacterial small subunit ribosomal RNA
Source: RNAcentral
AGUAGCAAUACUUAGUGGCAGACGGGUGAGUAACAUGUGGGUAUCUACCCUUUGGCCUGGAAUAACACGAGGAAACUUGUGCUAAUACCGGAUAAGUCUUUACGGAGAAAGCUUUAUGCACCAUUGGAUGAGCCCGCACUUGAUUAGUUUGUUGGUAGGGUAAUGGCCUACCAAGACUAUGAUCAAUAGCUGAUUUGAGAGGAUGAUCAGCCACAUUGGGACUGAGACACGGCCCAAACUCCUACGGGAGGCAGCAGUGGGGAAUCUUGCACAAUGGAGGAAACUCUGAUGCAGCGAUGCCGCGUGAGUGAAGAAGGCCUUUGGGUUGUAAAGCUCUUUCGUCGGGGAAGAAAAUGACUGUACCCGAAUAA